Molecule: ribosomal RNA, 500 nt
Filed under: uncultured bacterium
Lineage: Bacteria
Description: partial 16S ribosomal RNA
Rfam family: Bacterial small subunit ribosomal RNA
Source: RNAcentral
AUUGAACGCUGGCGGAAUGCUUUACACAUGCAAGUCGAACGGCAGCACGGGGGCAACCCUGGUGGCGAGUGGCGAACGGGUGAGUAAUACAUCGGUACGUGCCCAGUCGUGGGGGAUAACGUAGCGAAAGUUACGCUAAUACCGCAUACGAUCUACGGAUGAAAGCGGGGGACCGUAAGGCCUCGCGCGAUUGGAGCGGCCGAUGUCAGAUUAGGUAGUUGGUGAGGUAAAGGCUCACCAAGCCGACGAUCUGUAGCUGGUAUGAGAGGACGACCAGCCACACUGGGACUGAGACACGGCCCAGACUCGUACGGGAGGCAGCAGUGGGGAAUUUUGGACAAUGGGCGCAAGCCUGAUCCAGCCAUUCCGCGUGCAGGACGAAGGCCUUCGGGUUGUAAACUGCUUUUGUACGGAACGAAAAGGCUCUGGUUAAUACCUGGGGCUCAUGACGGUACCGUAAGAAUAAGCACCGGCUAACUACGUGCCAGCCGCCGCCGUAA